RNAcentral lists this long non-coding RNA (1102 nucleotides) under Scleropages formosus (Asian bonytongue). RNAcentral's name for it is "lncRNA (ENSSFOG00015025659.1)". Lineage: Eukaryota; Metazoa; Chordata; Actinopteri; Osteoglossiformes; Osteoglossidae. The record is from RNAcentral.
UUACGCUCCCUCCUUCCAUCCGUUCAUCCCCGUCUUUGCUCUCCUCCACCUCUGAGCCUGCUCAGCUCCUCUUUUCCUGCUAACUUCUUUCGCCUCCCCUCCCCCAGGUAUGCGCGUCCUCCUGCAUCGUUUCCUUGUCUCUGCUUUCUGUCAGUCCUCCCACCAUGUCGCCCAUGCUGGUUCACUGAUUUCACUAAUACAUUCCUAGACUUAUCCUUUGCAGCUGUGUUCUCAUGGAUCUUCAAGUGGCAAACUGCUGCACAGAGCUGUACUUAGGAAAUCACCGUGUCCACUCUUACGGUUACACACACAGUCCGAAACUGCUUGUCCCACGCGGGGAGCCGGAGCCUAACCUGGCAACAGAGGACGCAAGGCUGGGGGGGAAGGGAUGCACCCAGGACAGGACGCCAGUCCGUUGCAAGGCACCCCAAGGGGGACUCGAACCCCAGACCCACCGGAGAGCAGGCAUAGGCCAAACCCGCUGCACCACUAUGCCCCCAUCUUCCCAAGCUAUAUUUCAUCCCAUAUUCCUUACUUCUGUCUGAUAUGCAUAAAUGGGAAUAUACAUAAUUUCCAUCUGAGCGCAGAGAAAUAAGACUUUGGUUGUUGUAAUGGUACAAUAAUAACAAAAGCUGGCCAUGUUUUAGAAGCGAAAAGCGUUAAGGCAAGUGCAGAUUUUCGAGGAGGUCUCUGGCGAACUGUGGAAAGGUGUUAAGUGUAGGCGUCACAACACGUCUGGGUAACGGUUCAGCUUUUUUGUGGUUUAAAUGCUGCGCCGCAAUAGCCGAAUUAAUCAAAGUGUACUUUGCGUUUAGCGUGUGCACAUUUUUUAAAAUCCAAGUUUGAAGUAUAUCAUUUUAAUGACACCGGUAUGGCCAGGAACAAUAACAUGAAUAUUAGACACGAUUCUGUUGUAGGAGGUGGGCAAACAGUUGAGGAUGUAUUGUAUGACUUUAGCCCUUGUUUUCGCGAGAGCUGAAGGAGGCCCACAUUUCAUCUCAAAAUUCCCACCUUGAAGGGCCAGGAAGCAGAGAGCCAAUCGCAGGAGGCCGACAGUAAUAUAGUCGCCGACAGAUGAGCUGUUACCGCGGUGAGAUCACGC